ACGCUCGACACCUACUGGAGGCAGCAGUGGGGAAUAUUGCACAAUGGGGGAAACCCUGAUGCAGCAACGCCGCGUGAAGGAAGACGGUUUUCGGAUUGUAAACUUCUGUUCUUAGUGAAGAUAGUGACGGUAGCUAAGGAGCAAGCCACGGCUAACUACGUGCCAGCAGCCGUGGUAAUCUGAGCGGGCUGGCAAGGC
Molecule: ribosomal RNA, 198 nt
Filed under: uncultured bacterium
Lineage: Bacteria
Description: partial 16S ribosomal RNA
Rfam family: Bacterial small subunit ribosomal RNA
Source: RNAcentral